This 468-nucleotide ribosomal RNA is filed under the name uncultured bacterium. RNAcentral's name for it is "partial 16S ribosomal RNA". It matches the Rfam family "Bacterial small subunit ribosomal RNA", at positions 28 to 507 of the family's 1533-position model. The record is from RNAcentral.
GACGAACGCUGGCGGCGUGCUUAACACAUGCAAGUCGAACGGAAAGGCCCUGCUUUUGUGGGGUGCUCGAGUGGCGAACGGGUGAGUAACACGUGAGUAACCUGCCCUUGACUUUGGGAUAACUUCAGGGAACUGGGGCUAAUACCGGAUAGGAGCUCCUGCUGCAUGGUGGGGGUUGGAAAGUUUCGGCGGUUGGGGAUGGACUCGCGGCUUAUCAGCUUGUUGGUGGGGUAGUGGCUUACCAAGGCUUUGACGGGUAGCCGGCCUGAGAGGGUGACCGGCCACAUUGGGACUGCGAUACGGACCAGACUCCUACGGGAGGCAGCAGUGGGGAAUAUUGCACAAUGGGCGGAAGCCUGAUGCAGCAACGCCGCGUGCGGGAUGACGGCCUUCGGGUUGUAAACCGCUUUCGCAUGUGACGAAGCGUGAGUGACGGUAAUGGGUAAAGAAGCACCGGCUAACUACGUG